GCUAGUUCUUCAUCUAAGAACUAGUGCUGUUUGCAGUGGGCUACUAACCAGAUGGCAAAGUAACUGGAAUUUAAAAAUUAAAAAGGCCAUUAAUUCAGAUUUCAUAUUCCCCGUUUCGCUGCAGAAUCACAUACCCCUCUACUUACUUCCCAUCAUCUUUUUGUUCCCUGUAAUGUUUUCUCUGCAAUAAAACUGAAGGCCAUUGUCUAGGCAGGGUGAAAACAUAAUUAAGCUGAAUAGUCAAUACAUAGGUUGAGUUUGAAGUUCUGUAAUGUUUUAGCGUUCAUGCAGUAGUAAUCUUUACAACAGUCCUGCAAAGUAGACCAGUAUUAGUGCAAGGCUGUCUAACAAGUUCAUGAUUGAGGUGAGAAUUUAAUUUGUUGUUUUUUUAUCUUGCAAUCUCAGACACUUUACUAUGUUGCUCUAGGAAAGUUUCUGUGAUGGUUACUAACCUGCUGAAACCAAACACCAAAAGCCAGAUGUUAAAAUAUUCUUAAGAGCUUCCUCUCUGCAGCAAUAUAAAUAUUUGUCAAGUUACAAAAUAUCUUAAACAUAUUUAACUCUGGCUGAGUGGCGAUCUCUGCACAUAAGUAAUGCAUUCAAUCCUGGAAGCCCCAGGCAAUUGUUUGAAAGCAUUGUUAGCAGGCCACCUGCUGGUUGAGAAAUGAAAAUGCAUUUUACUACUUUUAUCUUUAAUUAAUCUUCUGCUUUAUUCAUAAUAACUAAAGCAUGAGUCUAUAAAACCAUAUUUGCAUGCAUGAUAAGUGUGUCAGAUAACAAAACUGAAAAUACUUUGCUCUUGAAUAUUUUAGGAUGUGUAGCUAAGAUUCCUGGUCACACUUCAGUUACUUGACCUCAACUGCCUUGUGCUAAGCAAAAAAACUGUUCAGUUGAGCUGACACUGAGGCUUUUGGAGGAAAGCAGUGUGCACAGUAUUAACAUGCACAUUGGGUGUCCGUGUUUUGUUCCAGUCAGGCCUGAUUUAUACUUUUGAUUUCAGCAUAAUUGCUGCUUGAGAAGCAGCUCCACAGGAUGGAUCAAAGAGAGCGUAGUGGGGGGGACGGUGGGUAGGCUGAGCAAGCAGUUUGUGUGAAAUGGCUCCCUACGUGGUUGUAGUGAUUUCAGCAUGGCAUCUCAAUUCAAAAAUCUAAAUGUUUUCAAUGGUUUGGUUGAAAUGUGUGGACUGAAAUGUGUCUGUUGCUAGCAGUGAUAUUAUCUGAAUCCUUCAAAGCCAUCUGAAUAUCUUGGCUGCAGGAAAUAACCCCAUCUGGUUUAAAAAAUUAUUGCAUUCAGACAUACACCUUUUGUGGUCUUAAGUAAUGUUAUCAAAAUCAAAUUUAACAGCAUCAUUAAAAUAAAGAAGUGCCUUUUUAAAUGCAAAUGUUCAGCAAGUACCUAAACUUGAACAAUUUCCUAGUGCCUUGGACUGGAGUGGGAUGUUGUAUGUACAAGAGUACAGUACAAUGUGCAAUUAGUGAUGUUUUAGGAAGAUUUUUGUGUUUAAAUAUCCAAUUUCAAGUUCAUAUUGUAGAAUGGAAAGUUUAUGGUCUUGGUUUAGAAAACCAGUUGCUAAGUUUCAUUACUCAAAACAAAAAUGGUGUAAAGAACAUGAAUGAGCAUCCCUAUAUACCCCUGAUGGCUGAUUCUGACAGUUUCGUAAGUGGCUCCUGAUCCCAAAUGUUGGCAUACAAGCAUACAAGGUUCACCAUGCAGUGUCUUCCACCAAUAGUCUGCAAUAUCAAAAUAAAUGAACAGGGUAGCUUCCAUAAAUGUACGGGUCAUUCAUUAGAAAUAUUUGUCAAUAUCUACUCCAGGCUUCCUCAACCUCAGUCCUACAGAUGUUUUGAGACUAUAAUUCUCAUCAUCCCUGACCACUGGUCCUGCUAGCUAGGGAUCAUGGGAGUUGUAGGCCAAAAACAUCGGGGGGGGGGCCCGAGAUUGAGGAAGCCUGAUCUAGUCAGCAUCAUAACAGAGAAGCAGUAAAGCAACUUGUUUCCACACUCAUACAUGCUUGAAUACCUUUUUCACAAUGGUAUCUGUUUCACUCAACGGAGCAAACACCUAGAAGAGUUUGACCCAAAAGCCUCUAUACAGCAUAUCCCAAGCAGUUGAAGGGUUAGCUAUCAGGACAAUGUGUGAGUGCAGUGUUCCUGUAGGCCACAGUGGUGUGACACAAGUGGCUUUAUCAUUACAAGGAUUCGUGGGAUAUAUAAAAAGACGUAUUUUCACCAUCAAACGGCCUCGGUACUGUGUACCUGAAGGAGCAUCUCCACCCCAUUGUCCAGCCCGGACACAGUUCCAGCGCCGAAGACCUGCUGGCAGUUCCCUCGCUGUGAGAAGUGAGGUUACAGGGAACCAGGCAGAGGGCCUUCUCGGUAGUGGUGCCUGCCCCGUGGAACGCCCUCCCAGCAGAUGUCAAGGCAGUAAGCAACUAUUUUACUUUUAAGAGACAACUGAAGGCAGCCCUGUUUAUGGAAGUUUUUAAUGUUUGAUGCUGUAUUGUGUUUAAUAUUCUGUUGGAAGCUGCCCAGAGUGGCUGGGGAAACAAUAAUAAUAAUAAUAUCAUCAAAACAAUACCGCAAUUUGAUUAGAUUUUUGCUAUGAAGCUGUGAUGUAAAAAAAAACCACAUCUGAAAAGAGCAGAAGACUUACAGUGGUUUGCUUUAUGUUUCAUAGAACUACUCACAGUACUAACAUGGAUAUAACCAUCCCUGGUUUAAGACAGUCUAAACUAGUGUAAGCAGUCUGAUUAGCUUUUUAAUAUACUGUAAUAUCAAAACUAGCUGAAUUCCUACUAAUUUCAACAGGACUUUCUGCUUAGCAUGUACAGAAAUGCUCAAAGACCUUGCUGCAGAGUCCUUCUGGGCACCCUAUCAGAUAUGAAGAAGAGUUCCAGAAGGUUCCUUAACUUGCUGUAAACAUUGAGGCAUUUUCCACCAAUUUUAUUUCACUGGAAAGUGUCUGGAAGAUACUAACAGCAUAGAGGUGUCUUCUCAACUUUGUGAAUUUGCUUCUGCUUUGUGGGUAACCAUGUCCAAAAUUAGAUGUGAUGGCAGCAAACAAAUGGGGAAGGGAGUCUUAAAACAAAAAGAGUGUACCUGUGAGAGCCUGUGGAAAGAGUUUGUGUGCAGAGAGAAAGAGAAAGCGCUGAACCUUCCCCACACCUGCCACUCCCAGCCAGGCUCAUUUCCUAUAUCAGAGCCUAGAUGAGCAAAAAGUGACAUGGGGGGACAGCCCCCAAGGAGAUGCUCUGAAGACAGGGUGAGUGGUUAGGGUUUAGCACGUCUUCCCAAAUAAACCUUUUAAAUUAUAUCUGAUACAAAUUGCUUUAUUUGUGAUGGGAGGUAGAGAAGUGUAGCUGCAAAUGCUCACAUGUAGUCUGGCUUUAGAUUUUUCUAGGGUCUCAGUGUUAUAAACUCUAUAUGAUUUCUAAGAUGUCACAUGUAAUCAUAUAUGGAACAAGAUGACAUUUUAGAUAAAAAUUCAUUACCCAUUCAUAAAAGACUUUUUGACCUGUAUUCUGUUCAGGACCAUCCUAAUAGUGCUUCUGUAGUCACCCAGAGAUUUCCAGUUUCAAUUUGAUUAGGCUAGCACCAUGCAAGCACAUUCCAUUGUUGCAAAUAGGUAGGAGUUUUUUAUCCUAAAUGAAAUUAUAUUAACUAAGUUAAUGACAUUGCAUUGUAUAAUCAAGCUAACUGGCUAAGGUUGCAAUCGUAACACCACUUACCUGGGAGUAAGCCCAUUGACUUCAGUAAGCCUUACUUCUGAGAAGAAAUGGUAAGGAUUUUGUUGGAAAACACCAUCUCUCUUCCAACAAUAGUAUCAAGUGGCCAACUAUGUUUUGAGAUGAUGUUAUACAGGGACUCUUUGUUUCAACAUUGUAAUGCAUGCUUAACAGAUUGUUUGAAAUUGGAUGUUGCAGCAUAAACCAGUGUAUUUAUUUUGUGCAUCUCAGGACACUGUCCUAUUGUGUUGGGGGGAGGUAAAGGAUGUCUAGCACUUUAAUUUAGAAUCUUUGAUAAAUUGGAAAUCAUUUGGGUGUAAGUUAUAGUGUUUCUAAGAGAUGAAUGGACUUUCUUUUAUAAUAUAUUUAAAAUAAAUUUCUAUUGUGUCUUUUUCUGAA
Molecule: long non-coding RNA, 4123 nt
Organism: Podarcis raffonei (Aeolian wall lizard)
Lineage: Eukaryota; Metazoa; Chordata; Lepidosauria; Squamata; Lacertidae
Exons: 2
Source: RefSeq, a predicted model, not a curated record